UGGCUAUCAGACUCCCUAAAACUCAAUAUUCUCCCUCGUUUUUAUCUCUUUGAACCAUCACCGCCGCUCCGGCACGCCCACGGCGGCGGCUGCGGCGGUUCCCUCCCAGAAACCUAAUCAAGAUCCACCAUUUGAUUCUUCUCGACAUCCUAUUUCUAAAUCCACGACCAACUUUCCUCAAUUUCAAACAACCUUUUCUAAAUCUAACAAAAUCUCCCGAACCCUAAGUUCAACCAAAGUGAAAUUAAAUUGCCAAGGUAGCGAAUCGAAUCACGAGACCUUAGGGUAAAUAUCCAGGAAGAUUUGAACUACAUCACGGUGAGAAGAAUCACGCAAGAAAGCAAGAGGAAAUAAAAAACGACACUUACCUACCGGAGUAGCUCCGACGGCUCUUCAACGGCGUGGAUUUGGCGAAAUAAACGCGAGGAUAUACUUCAAUCUCAGGUUGGAGUUACAAUGUGAAUAUGAACCCCUUCUUGUAUAUCCGCUUAUGGUUUCGGCACCGACCUGGAUUUUUCAGGAUCGUGUAUGGAAAUGUUAGGGUGUAAGGAUGACUCUAAGGUGUGAGGCUCGGAUAUGUUCGUAUGGUGUAUCGAAUGAGGUGCAGUAAGCUGGUGUAGCAGGGAUGUAUAUGUAUGAAUGUAGUGUAGAUAUGGUUGAUAUGUCUUGGAACUGUAUGAAAAUGCAUUGUAUGGUUAUGGUUCUUUUAUGCAUCAGGUUUGGCAAGUAUUUCGGGGUUAACAUGUAUGUGAACUGAAUAUGAGAUGGUGAUGUCUGGACUCAAUUACGGGCUAAGGUGAUUGUUUUGCAAUAGGUGGAGAAGGAUGUUGAACAUGAAGCAUGUGGUUUGAUGGAUUGGAAUGUGUGGAACAGUUUGGUUCAUGAUCGGGCUUCCUUUCUUGUGGUUCAGAACUCUGUUAUUUUUUAAUCUUGUGAGUUAACCUUGGUUUUAUGCUGCAAUUCUAAUUAUGCAGGGUGUUUAAAGUGGCAGCUUAUGGCAUGGGAUUAUAUGGACUUGUACUUUUGAAGGGUUGAAUAUUGUAGAGUUGUGGAUUAAUUUGAAAGUCUUGAAGGGUGUGAAGUAGGAUUAGGGACAAUAUUUUUUUGAUGUAAUUCUUUUGUAGUUUGACUUUUUGUAAUGGAUAUCGAAUAAUGUGAUUUUCUUUGGAAUUGGAUA
This is a long non-coding RNA of Vicia villosa (hairy vetch), 1177 nucleotides long. RefSeq lists it as uncharacterized. The transcript is spliced from 5 exons. The record is from RefSeq and is a predicted model, not a curated record. Lineage: Eukaryota; Viridiplantae; Streptophyta; Magnoliopsida; Fabales; Fabaceae.